AUGACGGGUGGGACUCGUUGGCUGUGGGGUCAUGCUACUGAUGUGAGUUUUCUCCAGUUUUUGGUACACGAGGUGUGCAUCGCGUCCUUGCCAAUCGUGGCCUGGGUAAAAGGAACCCUAGAGCCCUCCGCAGGCGCCUCCCUCCUCUCGCGCUUCCUCCCCAUGACCCCACCUCGCCUCGCGCCGCCGCCCAUCUCCGCCUCCUCUCUCACGUCCUCCCUACCACCAUGGCCUAGCCCACCCUCGUCAGCGACCUCCCCAAGCCCCCUCUCUCUCGGGGGUGCUUCUGGUCGCAAUCUGGAAGAAGAAAAGGAGACCCCAGAAGAAGUUAGAGUGUCCUGGUGGUGGCUAGAUCGAUGCAGCUGA
This 366-nucleotide ribosomal RNA is filed under the name Triticum aestivum (bread wheat). RNAcentral describes it as "partial small subunit ribosomal RNA". The record is from RNAcentral. Lineage: Eukaryota; Viridiplantae; Streptophyta; Magnoliopsida; Poales; Poaceae.